This 4206-nucleotide long non-coding RNA is filed under the name Dasypus novemcinctus (nine-banded armadillo). RNAcentral's name for it is "lncRNA (ENSDNOG00000052884.1)". Lineage: Eukaryota; Metazoa; Chordata; Mammalia; Cingulata; Dasypodidae. The record is from RNAcentral.
AUGGCGCAAUUGAACCACACGGUGCGCGGCAGCGCAGCUGGCCGGAACCUGCCCUGGGCAGCCGUCCUGGGCUGCUUUCAUGACCUACAAACCUGCCUUCCUCUUGAAUGUCCGACGAGAACAGCCGUCCUUGCAGAGGGCAGCACAACAGUGAUGUCACAGUACAGUCUGAGGUGUCCCUUAAAUACCCAGCUCCCUGGAGGCUCCUAUAGAGGCGAAGUCUGUCGUUUUCUGUUUGGGGCAAUCAAGACGGUGUCUGCUGCUUUUCUGCCAGGUCUCAGGCACCCUUCAAAGACGACCAACCCUGACGGUUUUCACUGCUCCUUGGUUCCGGCUCCCUCAGGACUUCCCCGGCCUCACAAUCCCACAUCCUCUUCCCAGCUGUCCCUGUUCAUUUCCCCUACAAAGGAGGGCACUUGCUCAUACCCGCCUCGAUGGCACCUGGACCAGCUCUUGUUUCUGGCUGAGCAGCCGUGGUGUUUCUGACACUGUCAGUGUUUCUUGAUCUUUGGAUUAUUUCUAAGAUCAGAAGAUACAAGUUCUGGUUUUCUCCCAGCGUGUUUGCACUUGCGGGUUCAGGCCCUCCGAUGCUGUACUCCACCACCCUAUCCACACAGCACCCUCGCCAGGGACCUGCUUGGAGGUCGUUUAUUGCCCUACAUCAUUUGGAAGUGUCCUUGGCACUUCUCCCCUCCCGCACCACAUGGCAAGAGUUUCAGACAAAACUGCAAUUGAAUCCAGCUCUGCUCCUCACAGGCUGUGCAGCCUUCGUGAAUCUCUUAACCUCUCUGAGUCUCAGUUUGGACACAUAAAAAUGAACUUAGCAAUAUCUGUCUCACCAAGCUACUGAAGGGACUAAAGGAGAAACAUGUGUCAAAGCACACAGCCCAAUGCUCAGCACGUAAAAGUUCUUACAAAUACCCGUUUUCCUCCCUCCUGCUUUUUGGCGCCCCAUGUGUAUAAAAAAGGCACUAAAAUCAUGCAUUCCAGGGUACAUCUCAUUAUUGCUUUCAGCUCUGAUUUGUCCAAGCGAAGGAACAGAAGGCACUAGCCCUUCUGUCUAACAGGUACAGGAACAGAGCACCACUCUCGAGUCAGAAUCGGCUGCAUGUGAAUCCCAGCUCACUGUGACAUGGAACCUCAGUUCUCUAAGACUAUGAUAAUAACUGUGUGGGUUUUAUAAGGUUUUUGGAGAAUUAAAUUGAGAUAAUAUACAUAAAGCCCUUGGAUUAGUGCAUGGUCAUUAUAUGUGUUUAGUAAAUGCUGGCUAUUAUUUGUAACCAGUGCUUAAUAUGUGCUGGUGCUAUAAAUAUGUAAUUUUGCUGUAGCAGUUUGAUAUUAUUGAUGAAUUUCAAAAAGAAAUAGUGGAUCAUAUUUGUAAACUGUCUUUUCCUCUGGGCAGAUUAGAUUAUAUUAGAUUCAGAGGUUUACUUGAUAAAGUAAUCAGGUAAAUCUCUUGUGCCAGUAGGGUGUUGAGUCUCCACCCUUUGGUGGUUGGGGACUCGGAUAAAAGGCCUGGUAAACGACAGAGUUGAGGGUUUUUGAUAUUGGAGUUUUGAUGUUGGAGUUUGAUACUGAAGCCUUAAGCUGGAGCCCCGGGAAGUAAACUCACAGAGGAAAGAGAAGCAAGCCCCAGGAAGAGAUGAAUCCUGAGCCCAGGAAAAAGAAGCCUGAGGAAGGGAGGAACCCAGCAAGCCUGAACCCUUACAGAUGUCAGCAGCCAUCUUGCUCCAACACAUGGAAAUAGACUUUGAUGAGGGAAGAAACUUAUGCUUUAUGGCCUGGUAUCUGUAAGCUCCUAUCCCAAACAAAUACCCUUCAUAAAAACCAACCACUUUCUGGUAUUUUGCAUCAGCACCCCUUUGGCUGACUAAUACAUUUACCUAUAAUUUUUAAAAUGUGCAUGUUAUCUUCAUUUUACCAAUGAGAGAUUAAAAGGACUUCCAGCCCUUAGUACUGAGUCACCUUGACACCUUGUGUUUUCUCCAUGGUCAUUUACACCACAGAGUAAAGGCAAGACAUCGAAGCAGCCUAUAGAAAUAACAUCUGAUUGGGUGGAGGGAACUGCCUCUGAAAUUUUUUUUUCUAAUAAACCUCUGGCAUUGAAUGAGAAUAAACUGUUACCACUCGAAGAGCUUUGAAAGAAAAGGACUGUAUAAACAAAAAAUAAAUAUUGCUCUGAGAAUAUGUCAGCAUAAUUUAUAUAAUAAAUCACUGUGUUACCACUAAUUAUGAUGACAUGAGUAUGAACCACUAAUUAUAUAGAAUUAAAUAAUAAAUUCUAAAUAAAUACCACAUAUUUUUAUAGCACCUAUUUUCUAGUACCUCCGAGCAAUUUGGAAUCUUAUGUUGAAUUCGGUGCCAAAAUAAUGUAAUGCGUUUCUAAUUCUCAGGCCAAAGAAACCUGGUGUAAGAAUUUAUGGAUAUUAGUGAUGUGAACAGAAACUACCAAAAUAAGAAGUGCAGAACAUGAUUCUUAGCAAAUCCUCUUUUAGGGUCAAAAGCCUCAGGUCACAGCUCAAAAGCACACCACUGGGGUAAAGGCAAGGAGAAGAAGGCUGCUGACAGGUGUCCACAGCAUAUACAGAGGUGUGUUGUCCAUAUAGCUUGUAUUUUAUGAAGUCCCAAAGACGGGAAAGCUCAAAAGUCAACCUAGAUUUUUUUUCAAAGAUUUAUUUAUUUAUUUAUUUAUCCUUCACCCACCCCGCCCAGCCCCAGUUGUCUGCUCUCUGUGUCCAUUUGCUGUGUGUUCUUCUGUGUCUGCUUGUAUUCUCAUUAGGCAGCUCCAGGGACCGCUCCUGGGACUUUCCAUAGUGGCAGAGAAGUGAUCGUUCUCUUACACCACCUCAGCUCCUUGCUCUGCUGUGUCUCUUAUUAUCUCUCCUCUGUGUCUCUUUUUGUUGUGUCAUCUUGCUGUGCCAGCUCUCUGCAUAGGCCAGCAUUCCUGCGCAGGGCAGCACUCCUGAGUGGGGCAGCACUCCAUGUAGGCCAGCACUCUGUGUGCACCAGCUCUCUACACAGGCCAGCUUGCCUUCACCAGGAGGCCCUGGGUAUCAAACCCUGGACUUUCUAUAUGGUAGAUGGGAGCCCAAUUGCUUGAGCCACAUCCACUUCCCCCAUGGCAUUUUAACCUUUUCAAUUAACAUACACAUGCAAAUUGUAUUUAUAAGUAGGGAGAAGUAAAUCAGAUCAAGGAGUUCAGGAGCCAACACAAAAGAAACUUCCCUGAGAUCAGUGUAGGAGAUGUGGAGUUCCCAGCUACUCCAAAACCUGAAUGUGUUUCUGUUUUCAAGUCAAGAAAAUAAAGGUCCUAUUCAAGAAUCCACAGUGGCUAUUUCAACAAUGACCAAGCCCAAUGAAUUAUGAUCAAAGGUCAAGAAAAAUAUUGGUUCUUACAUCAGCAUAAUGGAUUAUUUGCUUUAAGAAAAAAAGCUUAGUAUAAUAUUAAUGGAAACAUUCUGCAAGUCUUAUGAAGAAAUUUUUUGUUCCAAAUAAUAUGCUCGUCUUUGACAAUUGAUGAAGAGAUUAAAUACACACAAAUUAUUUGAUGGAGUUACAUGGACUUGAUAUACAAAAAGACAUUUUUUUCCCAUUCCUGGUGUUUUCUACAAGAGCCGCAUGUAUUUGAUGUCUCUGGUCCAAAUAUUACACUCUUAAACAUUCAGAAAUGUGUAGAGUAGACCUGCUAUGUCAAAACUGUUACCCUUAAAAUAUCAUCUGUUAAGCUAUGAAUAUAAAAUAUAUGAAUUGAUGCAAAAAUAUAUGCAUGGAUACAUCUUGGUGCUUCUCCAAGGUAUAGAAGACUUUUAGCUUCAUUUCACAAAUGGUUGUUAAUAAUACCAUCCUUCUCCUACUCUCUUGCAAAGCAUUGUUUAUAUAUUUACCCCUUAUACUUGUUAUCUCAUUUCACGCUCACAGAUGGGUUUUAUUGACUCCAUUGAACAAACAAAUCUAAGGCUGAGAAAAUUUGAGUAACCUGCCCAGGGUGGAGGUGGGAUUUAUUUGAACCCAAGUCCCAUACUCUUUGCACUGAGCCUCCACACUCGCUGGAUGGGUGUGUAUAAUUUCAGGUUUUGAAAGAGCAAGCUUUAUGGUUUUGUUUGCCUUUACAUUUUUUCCCAGCUGGAAAGCCCUUACCCUGCCUAAAGCAACCUAAGGUUUAGAAAUAAACUUCUGCCAGUCUUUUAUGUAGUGACCUCGCUCCCG